CUCUAGUGGGCGUCUUGGGCCCGGGCUCUAUUCUGGGCUGUGGGCCUGGGAAGGGCUCGCCGGGUGCCAAAUGAGCUGUCCUAACUCUGCGGGGCUGCAGCUUCCUGCAUGAUGUUGUGGAGCUUGGCGCCUGACCCAGGAUAUAGAAGGCACUCUGGGCAGGCCGCGCUCCGCCCACGAAGGUACCCAACCCUCUGGGAUAGAUGCAGGAACCGAUGGUUAGGACCCAUUUUCACCCAACUUCUCGCCGCAGGUUUAACCACCAAGGACUCUGAGAGCUGGCAGGUCUGAGUAACCCUGGUAACAAUUCUCUUCACCUUAUCAAAACCUGAGCUAAAACCAAUGCAUCAGCUGAUGAUGACAGCAGAGAGUGGCAGGGCUGAGGACCCAAUAUUCAUUUCCCAGGCUGGCGGAGAGUGAGUAAAUGAGAUUCUAAAACUAAACAAGGGAGGUCAGAGACUCUUUCCAA
Molecule: long non-coding RNA, 469 nt
Filed under: Pongo abelii (Sumatran orangutan)
Lineage: Eukaryota; Metazoa; Chordata; Mammalia; Primates; Hominidae
Description: lincRNA
Source: RNAcentral